UAUCAGUCCAUCGAGACCCAUGGAAGGUGCGCCCCAGGCAGGGGCACCAGGCUCCCUUGGGCCCCAGCAGCAGGAGAACGGGUGGGGCCGCUCCUCAAUCCUUUCUUCAAAGGAGACAAGAGGGAGAGGCACAACAGCAUUGUUCGACAAUAUGUGGAGCUCCCUCCUAUGCCCUGGUACUCCCAUCUGAUGCCAAGGCUUGAAAUGAGGGUCUUUUGUAUGGUAAGGUGGACACUCUACCAGGCGAGACAUCUCCCAGCCCUUCCUCACCACUUCUAAGAUAACUGGAGCACAGCCAGGCAGGGGCAGCUCAGCCUCCACACAGGAAGAUCCUAAGCAGCAAGGAACCAAUGGCUCACACCCUUCUUGAGGAUUGUACCCUGGGGCUGUGAAGCCUGGUCCUGGACAGGGAGACCCCAGAAGCUCUUCACCUGUUCCCACCACCACCUCUGUGAGUUUCCAUGGGUCCAGGGCCAGGACAUGCAUAGGGAUGGGGACUGGAGGCCUCAACCAGUGCCUACCAGUGACCUUGGACUUGGGAGGAGUCAAGUCCCAUGACUGCUACAGCUGUUUCCUUAAGAACAAAAGUGUCAUGUGAGGGUGGGAGAACAGCUUCUAGAAGCCAGCUGAGUAAGAAGUCUAAAAAGGAACAGGAGUGAUCUAGAAGGUGGUGCUAUAGAUAAGGCAUUAGACUAUCAAGCAUGAUAUCCUGAGAUCCAUUCCUGACAUUGCACUUGCCUGAGUAAUACUCUGGUGCUCUCUCUCUCUCUCUCUCUCUCUCUCUCAUAUAUAUAUAUACAUAUACAUAUGAGAGAAGAAGCACAUGGACAUCAACCCUCACACUGUCCACUAUCUGCCAAUAGGCCAAGUCCAACAAAAAAAAU
Long non-coding RNA from Erinaceus europaeus (western European hedgehog), 884 nucleotides. RefSeq lists it as uncharacterized. NCBI's taxonomy places the organism in Eukaryota, Metazoa, Chordata, Mammalia, Eulipotyphla, Erinaceidae. The record is from RefSeq and is a predicted model, not a curated record. The transcript is spliced from 3 exons.